CAGCAGCCGCGGUAAUACCGGCGGCCCGAGUGGCGGCCACUAUUAUUGGGCUUAAAGCGUCCGUAGCCGGGUUGGUUAGUCUCCCGGGAAAUCUGGCCGCUUAACGGUCAGAAUUCCGGGAGAUACUGCCAGCCUAGGGACCGGGAGAGGCCGAGGGUAUUCCCGGAGCAGGGGUGAAAUCCUAUAAUCCCGGGAGGACCACCUGUGGCGAAGGCGCUCGGCUGGAACGGGUCCGACGGUGAGGGACGAAGGCCAGGGGAGCAAACCGGAUUAGAUACCCGGGUAGUCCUGGCUGUAAACGAUGCGGACUUUGUGUCGGACAAGCUAUGAGCUUGUCCGGUGCCGGAGGGAAACCGUUAAGUCCGCCGCCUGGGGAGUACGGCCGCAAGGCUGAAACUUAAAGGAAUUGGCGGG
Molecule: ribosomal RNA, 414 nt
Filed under: uncultured microorganism
Description: bacterial SSU rRNA
Rfam family: Archaeal small subunit ribosomal RNA
Source: RNAcentral